GUGGUGUUGGCAUGAGGAAAGGAGGUAUCUUCGAGGGACAAUCUUCUUCUUGUGCGAUCCUUGGAGAUGCCAUGAGGCCCCUGGACACAUGUGGUGUGGGCUCCUUUGGAGGCUGUUGUAUCCCUUCUGAAUGUGGCGUGGGCAUAGAAGGAAGGCCAGUGGCCACGAGGGACAAUCUUGGUCUUGGGAGAUCCUGGAAAUGAUAGGGAGUCCCUUGAUAUGUGUGGCAUGGGCUCCUUCAGGUGCUAGUGGAUUCCUUAGGAUGGGACAAACACUGUGCGUGGAUCGAUGAUGACUUCCAUAUAUACAUUCCUUGGAAAGCUGAACAAAAUGAGUGAAAACUCUAUACCGUCAUCCUCGUCGAACUGAGGUGGUGUUGGCAUGAAAGGCAGGCUUGUAUCAUGAGGAAUGAUUGUCAUCUUGUCUGAUUCUUGGAGAUGGCAGGAAGCCCCUGGAAACACAUGGUGUGGACUCUUUCACAGGCUGUUGAAACCCUCCUGAAUGUGAGGCCAGAGACAGGCAGACAGCAGAUGUAUUGCAGGGAGCUGGAUGACAUGGCCCUUGGAACCUGUGCACAUGCCUGCCUUUCUGAUGCACGUCCAUGUUUUCUCUGCACCUCCCCGGUGGUGUUGGUAUAAAAAGCAGGCUUACAUCAGCAAGGGAUGAUUGUCGUCUCAUGCGAUCCUGGGAGAUGGCAGAAGUCCCGGGACACAUGGAGUGUGGGCUCUUUCGGAGGCUGUUGGAUCCCUCCUGAAUGUGUUGUGGCCAUGGAAGUAAGGCCAGUGGCUACGAGGGACAGUCUUCAUCUUGGGAGAUCCCUAGAGAGGGCAGGGAGCCCCUUGACAUGUGGAAUGUGAUCUCUGUUGGGUGCUGGUGGAUCCCACAGGUGGUCUGGCAUGGAAGAAGGCCAGAGGCUGCGAUGGAUCAUCUUUGUCUUGGGAGAUUCCUGGAGAUGGUGGGGAGCCCCUGGGCACGUGCAGCAUAUGUGGCGUGGGCUUCUUCAGGUGCUGGUGGAUCCCUCAGGAUGCUUUUCAAGGUUUUUCUAUGAGUUCUGUUAAAGAGUCUGAAAAUGGAGCGUAGAAGACAUGCUUCGAUUUCCAGGAUGGUUGUGUUUUCCAGAGAGGCGGAGGUAAACCACUGGCGCAGCCCUGCCUCCCACAGAUAAUUCCGGGUGCAGUGUUUCAUAUCUAGACUUGGACUUCUAUCCUACCAUACUUCUUUGUGUGCAGUUCAUUGUGGAACCAGCACAGAUUUUCAUACGAAAGUUAUUUCUUUUUAACCUCAAAAAGUGACAGAAUGGAGUGUAUCAUGAAAAAGUCUGACAUCAAAACCUCAAAAUGUGAUAUUGAUUGGGUGAGAUAGAAUUCCAUGGAAUUUCAUUGCCAAACCAGUGAAGUGCUAAUUUUGACAUUUGUACCAGCUAACGUAGCUGUGAAGAAACACACCAAUACACUUCUAAGGACAGCAUAGACCAAGAUCUAGGUUUCAUAUGGAUGAAUUUAUUCUUCCCUUUGAGGCAAGACAAGAAGGAAAGAAAGUAUUGGGAAUAAUGCUGCCCUCCCAUCCUCAAGGGCCAGUGGGAACUCUAAUAUUGAUUGGUUUUCACAGAAUUCCAUGGACUUUAACUGCUGAACCAAUGAUGCACUGAUUUUGUCACUUGUACCAGCUAACGCAUCUGGGAGGCAACAAAACAAUACUCUCCUGAGGUUAAUGUGGACCAAAAACUAGAUUUCAUAUAAAAGAGUUUAUUCCUUCUACUUGAGGUGUGACAUGAAGGAAAGUAAUGGAAAUAAUUCUGCCCUCCCAUUCUCAAGGGCCAGGGGGAAUUCAAAUAUUGAACGGAAGUGAUUUUGGAAUUGCAUGGAAUUCUCACUGCCAUCCCAAAGAAAUGCUGAUCUUGUCACUCUUACCUGUUUCAUUCCCUGGGGGCAGAACAAAAGGACGCACUCCAAAGAUCGGCAUGAACCAAGAACUGGGUUUCAUAUAAAAUAUUUUAUUCUGUCCUCUUGAGAUGUGACAUGAGAAAAGUAUUGAGAAUACUUCUAUCACCUCAUCUUCAAGAAUCCGUAGGAAUUCUCCCAUGGUGGACUUUACGGUUAACCUGAACAGGUCUUGGAAAAAGGACUUUAAACAUUCUCCUGUUCUGUGGAAUAAGUAUACUUUUUUCUGGACAUACACCUUGUCAGUUCCAUGUGAUACUAGAGUUGCAUAGAUUUUUAACCUUUACGCCAAUGAAGAUCUGAGGCAAACAUUGCCCCUUUUUUAGAAGUUUGCAUUUGUCACUGAUAACUGUAAUAAUUGAUCUUGUUGAAAAGCCUGGGAAAUGAAGAUCUGAUAUGUCACUUUUACCGGCUUCCUCAACUGAAAAAGAAUACAAUGAAACACGCUGAGAAUUUUUGUGCUUUCUCAGUCUUGCUGAUGAUCUUUCUAUGGGCCUGAAGCGUGGAGAGUGCCAGAGAGGCUGAUCCUCAGCAGUGUGGCAGAGGAAAGUUGGGUGCGACUAAGGGGUAUGCGGUGCCCACAUGCCACUGGGUCCUCAGCAGUACCACCUGAUUGGAAGUGAUAUUGGUGGAAGACAACAUUUUGCCGCUUGGAAUUCUCACCUCCACACCAAAGAAGUACUGUUUUUGUCAUUUGCACCAGCUUCUUUCUCCAGGAAAGAUCAAAACGAUGCACUGCAAGUGUGAUUGGUCCAGAUAGCUGCCUUAUCCAACUGCCUCCUUUGGACCACUUCAUCAUGGGACAGCUUGAUGCAAUCUACUUGACAAGACCCUGGAACCCCACACCCCUCAUGGAACCAGUGUCCACCUCCCAGUCACAGUGUGACCCCAGGGAACUCUUGCCUGCUUGCUUUAAACCCACCACUUAAAAGUCUCCACAGAAAACCUGUUUGAAUAGUACCCUUGACCCAAUAAGGGCAUUGGCCCCUGGGUGUCUCUCUCUCUCUCUCUCUCUCUCUCUCCCUCUCUCUCCCUCUCUCUCUCUCGCUCCCUGACCUCUGCGUGUGGACUCCAGGCAUGCCAUAUACCCCUCAGGACCUGAAGCAAAAGAAUGAAUUAAAGAAAACUCCAGAGAAUGAGCUGACAACCUACUCCCUGGUCAGUGGCUCUCCAUGCCUACCUGUGGUCUCUUGGACACCCUUGCAGAAGAUGACUUCCUGGGAACUCUUCUGGGAGUGAAUGUUAUCAGCAAAUUCCCAAAACAACACCCCUUAGACAAAAAGCCUCCUCACCUAUGCAUUGCCUAGACCACCCACUAAAGGUGAUGGCCACAAAGAGGUGGAUUUGUUGAGUUGGUGCCAUUCCUUCUACUGCCAGCUUCACCAAAACAAUGACACAGUCUUCCUUCCGCAUGGAGACUCUUCUCUUUCCUGUGUUGCAGUGGAUGCCUCCUGCAGAUAAGAAAUGCUUAACUGAGAAAUGCUCAUGUUGGGAUAUCAUCGAUGAGACUUUAAUUUGGGCAUGGUGACUGUUUCCCUUGCUGCCACUUGACUCAAUCCCAGGAGCCUCAGUAGAGGAUAUAAUAUUACACAAGAUGCUCAAAAUGGUGGAAUUGCUCAGUGCUCCCAUAAAUAUACAUUUAUAAUUUUCAUUUGCCACAUGGUAAACUGAAAAAUACAGACUAUAUUAAAAAGAAACUGCAUGAUUUUUUUUCAAAAAUUCAAAGCAUAUUUAAAUAAUAUAUAAAUUAAAUGCCCUCCUCUCUUCCAAUUCUGUCCCUAUAGUUUUCCUCUAUUAAGUGAACUACAUGCAUUCUUUUAGUGGAUAGAUGCACACAAACACACAAGCCAUUAUGGGGAAGGAUCCACGUGUGUGGCCAUAUUGUAACACAUUUUUCUGCAAAUCACCUCUUUCAUUUAACAGCCCUUAUUCAAUGGCCUUUUUCUUUUUCAGUAGUACAUACACAUCUGUGUCAUUUGUUGAAUGACGACAUGAAUGUUUUGUAGAUAAAAUAUAAUUAAAUGUUUUAAGCAUUUCUCACUCAUAGAUAUUUAUGUUAGCACCAAAUUUCUGUGCAAUGAACCUCCCUAUAUAUCAGUAAUUUUGCAUUUGUCUAUAAUAUCAUAAUAAAUUACUUAUCAGUUGAAUUACUGGGAUUAAGUAUGUGCACACUUUAUAUUUAUAUUUUGAAAAUUAUUGCAAGAUUGCCUUCAAAAAUGUGGUUAACAACUUUAUCUUCAAAUGGCAAUGAAUGAGAUUGCCAGCUUUCCUACAGCCUCACAGACAAUGGAUUUUAUAAAUAUUUAACAUUUUUGCCAAUGUGAUCACCCAAACUAUUGUCUUAAAUUGUAUCUCUUUUGUUUUUGAGUUUGGUCAUUUUUUCAUGUUUAUUAGCCAUCUGUAUUUUUUAAUUUCUUCUUUAUGUCCAAUUUUGUGGGUGGGAGGAGGAUUUAGUCUCUUCCUGAUUUCGAAGAGCUCAUUUACUAUUUCGGGAAAUAAGAUUUGGAUUGUCAACCAUUAUAGCUAUUUUUUACACACUUUUCAACUUUGUUUUUGUUAUAAGAAUGUGUAUGAUUGUUACAUGUCCAAGUAUAACCAUGUUCGCUUUUAUGGCUUCUGAGUUUCAUGUCAUUUUUGGAAAGAUAUAUAUAUUGAGUCCAUAAAACCCUUCACCUAUGUUAAAUUCUAAUUCUUUUGUGUUUUUUUAAUUCAAAUUCUUAAAUCAUGAGAAAUUUUUUUGUUUUGAAAUCUUAAAGUUGCCAAGUUACUUGCCAUUACUUGCGAUUAUUUGCCAAUAAUUGCCCAUUUAUCUGUACCGCCAUCUUGCGCAUAUGCUGUACUCUCAUCUGUGACUGGCUCCAUUUUUGUUCUGUGGAUUUGUGUGUCUCUUCUUCUGCCUCCUGUCUCGUGUCUGCUCGUUGGAAGAAAUUACAGUUUAGACUGCAAUUUCAUCAACUUUAAUAAAUCAAUUGAGGGGAGAAUUGGUUUUUAAAAAUAUUAAGUAAGUCUUCGUAUCCAAGGACAAGGUAUGUCUUUUCUUAUUCAAUAAUUUUAAUUACUGUUAAUAUUUUCACUGUGGUGAUGGGAGUUUUUCUUUUAAUUUAUUUUCUUGUUCAUUUUUUGUAUCUAAAGUUUUUGUUUUGUUUUGUUUUGGGGGUAAGUUGUCACCUUACUGUUUCUUGUUGCUUUUCAGAUUUUUUCAAAGUAUAGACUAAAUCCUUCACAAAUAUUUAAAGUUUUUAUUUUCCCCCUUCAUAUUGAUCCUGAUUUUAGUUAUGUUGACAAAGUCCACAGACUGUUACUAUCAGAACACUUGAACAGUUAUGGAAAUAUUACCUACCCUUGAUUUAAUCAGAGUUUAAUGGUAUGCUUCUUUGGUUUGACUGGCACAUUGUCGCUGGUCAUUUCCUCCCAAAGACCACCAGAAAGAGCUAUGAUCAAGCAAAGCUGAGUUUGUUAAACUUACCUGCAGCAAGGGAAAACACCACCUUGAUAGGGUUUAAUAAUGUUUCAAAAUCAAGAAAUGAGGCUUUGGGGUCUGGGCAGGGAACUAAUUAGAAAUGGGCAAAAUUUGUCAUGCAAUACCUUGUGGGAAAGUGAGAUGAGGUUCUUAAUGUGAGUAUUGAUGGUGAAAUCAUUUUCUAGGUGAGCUGUUUGCCUAUAUAAAGAUGUUAUCAAUGACAGAAGAACUAUUUGCCUAGAUAAACAAACUGAAUUUAUUUAUUGGUUUACAGUUUUAUCUUGCUGGGCAGGACUCUGCUGGGGGUGGUAUCAGGUCUUAUUCCCAAUAGGUAAGUUAUUUGGAUAUGGGUGGUCUUAAUCAUCAAUGUGUAAAAUGCUGAUUUUAAGUGCGAAAUACUUUGUCUACCAUGUUAGGAAAGUCUGCCACCUUUUAUCUUUUUUAAGGAAUUUUAAUCAAAACCAGGUGGUAGAUAUAAUCAAAUUGUUUUGCAGAAUCAAUUUUCCUGUUCUCUUUAAAGACUUUUAUCACUGUGAAUUAAUUUACUAUUAUUGCAACUUCCUUUAAUUCCUUGAAUGAACAGACCCUACUGGUUUUAAAAAUGUUUUAUUCUUUUAAUUUACUACUUAAUUGUGGGUAUUUUAAUUUGAUUUGGAAUUUUUACAAGUAUACAACUAAGUGAAAUUGAUCUGUGAUUUUUCUUUUUUGUGCUAUUUUUGUCAUGUUUUGAUAUCAGAUAUUCUGGUUGUGUUAAAAUAAUUUUGAGGAUUUUCUUCUUAUACUGUGUUCUAGAGUGGGUAAAAAAGCCCUAGUCUCACUAUCAGUGUUUAAGUGAACACAUCAGUGACAUCAUCUGGACUCUCCUUUGUUUUUGCUGGUUUGGAGUUAGGACAUCUAGAAGUUUUUUUCUUUUUUUCCUUUUUUUGUAUGGUUAUUGCUUGUUCUUUGUUUUGUGUCAAAUUUAACCUGUUUUCUCUUAGCAAAUCACAGCUCAUGCAGAUUUUCAAACACAUUAGCCUUGUUAUACAAAGUGUUCUUUCAUCAUUCUAUUAAAUUUCCAUUUUCAUUCCAGUUAUAGUUAUUUCUGCUGUGCCUUUGUUAAUGAAUAAGUUUAAACAGUGGAUGUUUAGCAUCACUAGCCUUCCCCUUCCAUCUCCCUUAAUCAGGACCUUGGUAUAAUUUAUCAGGUAUUUUUUAAGGUUCUAAUUUACUUAUAUAUAUUGUUUCUGUAUUCUUUUGUUUCUUUUCUUAAUAAAUUCUUAAACCUGUGU
Molecule: long non-coding RNA, 6671 nt
Filed under: Homo sapiens (human)
Lineage: Eukaryota; Metazoa; Chordata; Mammalia; Primates; Hominidae
Description: non-protein coding lnc-SNRPN-8:125
Rfam family: Small nucleolar RNA SNORD116 (bases 283-374)
Source: RNAcentral